CUUGGUGCAGUCUACCAUGCAAGUCGAGCGGAACGAGUUAACUGAACCUUCGGGGGACGUUAACGGCGUCGAGCGGCGGACGGGUGAGUAAUGCCUAGGAAAUUGCCCUGAUGUGGGGGAUAACCAUUGGAAACGAUGGCUAAUACCGCAUGAUGCCUACGGGCCAAAGAGGGGGACCUUCGGGCCUCUCGCGUCAGGAUAUGCCUAGGUGGGAUUAGCUAGUUGGUGAGGUAAGGGCUCACCAAGGCGACGAUCCCUAGCUGGUCUGAGAGGAUGAUCAGCCACACUGGAACUGAGACACGGUCCAGACUCCUACGGGAGGCAGCAGUGGGGAAUAUUGCACAAUGGGCGCAAGCCUGAUGCAGCCAUGCCGCGUGUGUGAAGAAGGCCUUCGGGUUGUAAAGCACUUUCAGUCGUGAGGAAGGUUGAGGGGUUAAUAGAUGCAUUAUUUGACGUUAGCGACAGAAGAAGCACCGGCUAACUCCGUGCCAGCAGCCGCGGUAAUACGGAGGGUGCGAGCGUUAAUCGGAAUUACUGGGCGUAAAGCGCAUGCAGGUGGUUUGUUAAGUCAGAUGUGAAAGCCCGGGGCUCAACCUCGGAAUAGCAUUUGAAACUGGCAGACUAGAGUACUGUAGAGGGGGGUAGAAUUUCAGGUGUAGCGGUGAAAUGCGUAGAGAUCUGAAGGAAUACCGGUGGCGAAGGCGGCCCCCUGGACAGAUACUGACACUCAGAUGCGAAAGCGUGGGGAGCAAACAGGAUUAGAUACCCUGGUAGUCCACGCCGUAAACGAUGUCUACUUGGAGGUUGUGGCCUUGAGCCGUGGCUUUCGGAGCUAACGCGUUAAGUAGACCGCCUGGGGAGUACGGUCGCAAGAUUAAAACUCAAAUGAAUUGACGGGGGCCCGCACAAGCGGUGGAGCAUGUGGUUUAAUUCGAUGCAACGCGAAGAACCUUACCUACUCUUGACAUCCAGAGAACUUUCCAGAGAUGGAUUGGUGCCUUCGGGAACUCUGAGACAGGUGCUGCAUGGCUGUCGUCAGCUCGUGUUGUGAAAUGUUGGGUUAAGUCCCGCAACGAGCGCAACCCUUAUCCUUGUUUGCCAGCGAGUAAUGUCGGGAACUCCAGGGAGACUGCCGGUGAUAAACCGGAGGAAGGUGGGGACGACGUCAAGUCAUCAUGGCCCUUACGAGUAGGGCUACACACGUGCUACAAUGGCGCAUACAGAGGGCGGCCAACUUGCGAAAGUGAGCGAAUCCCAAAAAGUGCGUCGUAGUCCGGAUUGGAGUCUGCAACUCGACUCCAUGAAGUCGGAAUCGCUAGUAAUCGUGGAUCAGAAUGCCACGGUGAAUACGUUCCCGGGCCUUGUACACACCGCCCGUCACACCAUGGGAGUGGGCUGCAAAAGAAGUAGGUAGUUUAACCUUCGGGGGGACGCUUACACACUUGGUCC
This 1449-nucleotide ribosomal RNA is filed under the name Vibrio natriegens. RNAcentral describes it as "bacterial SSU rRNA". It matches the Rfam family "Bacterial small subunit ribosomal RNA". The record is from RNAcentral. Lineage: Bacteria; Pseudomonadati; Pseudomonadota; Gammaproteobacteria; Vibrionales; Vibrionaceae.